UUGAUUGCACAAAAAUCGUUGAUAAUUUCUAUCGAACUACCAUGGCUAAUCCCGAAAUAGAGAGAACAUAUUCAAAUCAUAAUUUUCCUGUGUGCUGCGCUCCGACUCCAAAUUGGUAAUAUUUAUAACCACAAUCAACGACAAGCUGCUUCUAAAGUAUGAAGAUUAUUACUAUAGCAAAGGACCUAAAUCGAAAAUUAUGCAGCUUUGUUGUUCGACGAAGACAAAAAGUAUAUUUUAUAAAGACAGUCAACGACAAACUGAUUCUCCAGUUUGAAGGAUAUUAUUACGCCAAAGCACCUUAUUCAAAACAAAGAUGGCGUUGCAUCAACACUAACUACUGCUACGCAGCCAUACUGUUCGAUGAAAAAAAUAGCGUCAUUGUAAAAGGAUCAUCCGACCAUUUACACCCUCCAAAAAAGAAAUUCGUGAGAACUGAAGAUGGCAGAUAUAAAAUGAUUAAAUCGUUAAAACGAGAUUUGUAUUAGAAAGAUGCAUAAGUUUAACAGAUGAAGGGUUUACCUCCUAAUAUUUGUAAAUAAUUGGAGUUUAGAAUAUAUUCUUUAAAAAGUCAUUAAAUAUUUUAUUUAUUUCUAUCACCGAAAUAAAAUUUCUUGGUCUUCGUUUUUUGUGACUGCAUCUAAGUAUGAACUAUGACAAACAUAAUAAGAUUGUUUUAUGGGUGACUCAACUAUCUACGCCAGAAUACAUAUCUUGUAAAAUCAACACUAAGUUUCUAUUAAAUGGGUUGGCAAUAUACUAUACCUAUGGAGAUUUUUUUUGAAACUUCAGUUUAGAUAUUGGAAUUAUCCCUAUCCAAUUUUUGAAAGAACUGUCGGGAAUCAGAAGACGAGAUCACAAAAUUUUACCAGUUAACGUUAUACCUACCAAAUAUUUCGUUCACGAGUUUCGAGUAGUACUUUUACUGCGGUUCUGCUAGACGAUAUCGAUUUCUUUAUCGAAUACCAAUUAUUAUAAUAUUUUAAAGGAAUGUAGCCUAAAAUACUUGCUUUUGAAUGUUUAAACUUAAUGGCUACUGAUAGACAUUAUAGUACGGCCAAAGAUGAAGGGCUGAAAGGUUAUUCUCACUUUGCUGACGCAGUUUGUAUGCUCUUUCAGCUAUCGUGCCCUUGACUGCUGCAGAAAGGCAAAGGAAAUAUAAACAAAGCUUAAAACAUGACCCUGAAAAGUAUGAAGCGUAUAAAAAGAAAAGACGUGAAUAUUACCACAAAAAUAAAAGACUAGUAAAGGAUCUGACAGCAAAAGAAAAAUUUAACGCUAGAGUUAUUUGGAGGUUGAGAAAGAGACAAUCAAGAUAUCGGCAGCAAAUCUAAAGGAUUAAGAUCUAGCAAGUAAUGGCGAUUCGGGAGCUUGGCUAGGGAUAUGUAGGUAGUUACCUCGAGUGAAAAUUAAUAUUGUCAAUUAUAACUAAUUCUUGUCAUCAAUCAUCUGGCCCCAACGAUAUAUUAAGAUUUGUUCUUUCGUUAUUUUUAUAAAUAUUCAUAUAUUUAUUUCAUAUUUUUCAUAAAUUAUUUUUUUUUAUGUUUCCUAUAAUCUGUUCUGUUUCUUCCUUGUAUAAAAAAUAGAAAUAAUAAAUCAGUUCUGCAUC
Long non-coding RNA from Plodia interpunctella (Indianmeal moth), 1609 nucleotides. RefSeq lists it as uncharacterized. The transcript has 3 exons. The record is from RefSeq and is a predicted model, not a curated record. Lineage: Eukaryota; Metazoa; Arthropoda; Insecta; Lepidoptera; Pyralidae.